Strongyloides venezuelensis is the source of this 46-nucleotide non-coding RNA. The record is from Rfam. NCBI's taxonomy places the organism in Eukaryota, Metazoa, Nematoda, Chromadorea, Rhabditida, Strongyloididae.
UAUACGGCCCCAUUUAGGGCCACCUAUCAUUAAAAAUAAAUUAUUU